This 557-nucleotide ribosomal RNA is filed under the name uncultured bacterium. RNAcentral's name for it is "bacterial SSU rRNA". It matches the Rfam family "Bacterial small subunit ribosomal RNA", at positions 102 to 694 of the family's 1533-position model. The record is from RNAcentral.
ACGGGUGAGUAACGCGUGGGAAUCUACCCAUCUCUACGGAACAACUCCGGGAAACUGGAGCUAAUACCGUAUACGUCCUUCGGGAGAAAGAUUUAUCGGAGAUGGAUGAGCCCGCGUUGGAUUAGCUAGUUGGUGGGGUAAUGGCCUACCAAGGCGACGAUCCAUAGCUGGUCUGAGAGGAUGAUCAGCCACACUGGGACUGAGACACGGCCCAGACUCCUACGGGAGGCAGCAGUGGGGAAUAUUGGACAAUGGGCGAAAGCCUGAUCCAGCCAUGCCGCGUGAGUGAUGAAGGCCCUAGGGUUGUAAAGCUCUUUCAACGGUGAAGAUAAUGACGGUAACCGUAGAAGAAGCCCCGGCUAACUUCGUGCCAGCAGCCGCGGUAAUACGAAGGGGGCUAGCGUUGUUCGGAAUUACUGGGCGUGAAGCGCACGUAGGCGGAUUGUUAAGUUAGGGGUGAAAUCCCAGGGCUCAACCCUGGAACUGCCUUUAAUACUGGCAAUCUCGAGUCCGAGAGAGGUGAGUGGAAUUCCGAGUGUAGAGGUGAAAUUCGUAGA